This is an RNA transcript of Quercus robur (English oak), 2414 nucleotides long. RefSeq lists it as uncharacterized. NCBI's taxonomy places the organism in Eukaryota, Viridiplantae, Streptophyta, Magnoliopsida, Fagales, Fagaceae. The transcript has 11 exons. The record is from RefSeq and is a predicted model, not a curated record.
UCACAUAACAUGUAAUACCCAUGUCACCAAAGUUUGCCACAAAGCAAAGAAAUCAUGCUUUUGGCCUAAACAAACUGAAUUUAAUAUUCAUAUAUAUAGACCAACCUCAUUUAACAGCUUUUGUUUUUGAUCUGUUUCACUACACCUUUUCCGCUUUCUCUUGUUUGUAAUGUGAAGUAUUUAUGCAUAGAUUCGGACAGAGUUAGUGGUAUACUAAUAUUCACCAACUUUCUGAUUAGGAGUCAAGGACUUGGAAGAAGCAAAAAUUGAGUAUAUAUGGGGUGCCUUGUAUCAACACCAAAUGACUCUGGUGGAAAAAACCCAAAAAAUGUUGGGGAGAUUAUGGUGUUUGUUCCUGGACUAAGGAUUCCUAAACCAGUUGACUUUGUGCUGCCACUUGAUGAUGGGUUAUCCAAGAAUUUGGUUGAACGUUUAUCUGCUCUGAGAACACGUAUUGUUGUCAUGGCAGGGCAAGAAGCACCUAGAUCUGCAAAAUCAAGAAGAACAGCCACACAACAUGGAGGUUCAACAUUAGCUGAUCUUCAGCAGGCUCUUGAAGAUUACCUGCCAGUGCAGUUGGGACUAGUUUACAAUGGUAACAAGCUACAGCAUAAGUUGCAAUUCAGUUGGGUAAAUCAGGAGGAUGAUGCAGAGGAAACAACCAUGUCUAAUUCUUGGUAUGAGGUACUUUCAGUUUUGCACUUGAUGGCCAUGCUAACAUUAUCACAGGCCAACUUCUUGCUCCUUUCUAAAGCAUCCACUGAUGGUUAUCAGUCUAAAGUAUCUGAAGAGUGCAGUCGAAAAUCUAUUGAUUUGCUUUUGAAGGCAGCUGGAUAUUUAGAUUUUGCUGUCAAACAUGCUCUCCCUCAGUUCCCACCUGAAGACAGGAAAGAUCUACCAUUAGACCUGGCAGAAGAAGUGCUAGAAGCCCUUUGCUUGCAAGCUCUAGGCCAGGUAGUUGAAAUUCAACUUGGAAUGGCUAUUGAUAGUAUACAAGCCACAAUGGCAGUGAAACGGAGACUUGCAUGUGAGAUGGUAAAAUACUGGCAUCAGGCACAAGAAAACAUAGUAAACCUUCCACUGGCAAAUCGAUGGGGGGAAAAGCAUAAGCUUUUUGUUAAGUGGAAACAUAAUGAGGCCAAGGCUGCUGCAUACUAUUAUCAUGGUUUGAUCCUUGACGAGGGGAAAACAGAAAGAUUUCAUAUGAUGGCAGUAGCAGCUCUGCAAGCAGCAGAUCAGUUUCUCAAGGAGAGUAAGAAAGCCUGUGAAUCCUUCAAUAUCACACCUCCUUUAUCACGGUAGUUGACUGAUCUCUCUCUCUCACUGACACAUACCAUGUAAGUGUAAAUGCAUGCAUCUCACAUAGUCAAAAGGUGUACAUGUUCAGGAUAUAAAGCAGUUAUUUCAUCUAACAAAAUGAGGCACAUUACCUUGAAAGGAAAUGGCAGCAUUAGCUUAGCCUUUCCUUUCUGAUAAAGGCAAAUACUGAUGAUCAACUUAAAGAAAUCAGAUGAAUUUGCACGUACAAAACAUACCAAAUGAUAUAACAGGCUUCAAUGGGUUUCUGAAGAAGACAAGAACUGUUAUUGACUCAACAACAAAAAAUCAGAAACUCAUGAUCUCUAAACACCUUAAAAUUGAUAGAUAACCACUCCAUGAAUCUAUCAUGUCUAGAAAGCAAAUCUAGUAAUCAAAUAUGGAAUAUCAUGCUCAUGAACUUAAAAGAAUUUCUAGCAGAAAACUCUCAAAGCAAUCCUAGUUCCAGAAUCAACUUUGAAGAUCUUGCACAGAUAUCAGAAAAUCACCAAAAGUAUUCUCUUCAACUAAUAUGGUUGAGUUUGACCUUUUGCCUUCAUCCAUACAUCAUUCUGUCAUCACAUAGAUUUUGGUUGGUCUAUGACAAGCUCUUUGCUCUAAGGUUCUCAAAUUAUACCAGUGGAGGUGCUUCAAAUUUUUUUUUUAAGGGCACUUCAGUGUUCUCUAAGGGCAAAUUAUGACCUGAUCUUUAUGAAGAACAUGUUUGAACCUCAAAAGCUGAAGCACCAUAAGCACGUAUCAUUUCCAGGCGGGUUUUUUCAUUCUCAAAGGGGCAAGCAUUAUUUCCCAGGAGCUUAUUUAGAAUCACAAGAUCACAACAGCGUUUCUUGGGCAUCAAUCACAGACAAACAAAGCCUUUUGGAACACCUUCCUAUUGGUAAAAUUUUGCAAACUGCAGGAAAAAAAGAAGUGCAGAUGAAACAUAAGAAGCUCAAAUAUUUCAUAUGGACACCCAACUCAGCAAACACUUGACCUCAAAAUCACAUCAUAAUAGAUCUAAAGAACUCUAAAGAACCAUUGGAGGAAUUGCAAGAUAUGGCAAAGAGCUUGACUAGAAUCAUAUUGCCGCCACUGGAGGUUGGAAUGAACAAAACUUG